This 442-nucleotide ribosomal RNA is filed under the name uncultured bacterium. Its description in RNAcentral is "partial 16S ribosomal RNA". It matches the Rfam family "Bacterial small subunit ribosomal RNA", at positions 338 to 795 of the family's 1533-position model. The record is from RNAcentral.
CCUACGGGUGGCAGCAGUGGGGGAUGUUUGGCAAUCGGCGCAAGCCUGCCCCAGCAACGCCGCGUGAAGGAAGAAAGCUUUCGGGUUGUAAACUUCUUUUGACAAGGAAGAUCAGAAAACGGUACCUGUAGAAUAAGCCACGGCUAACUACGUGCCAGCAGCCGCGGUAAUACGUAGGUGGCAAGUGUGGACCGGAUUGACUGGGUGUAAAGGGCGUGUAGCCGGGCUGACAAGUCAGAUGUGAAAUCCGGGGGCUCAACCCCCGAACUGCAUUUGAAACUGUUGGUCUUGAGUAUCGGAGAGGCAGGCGGAAUGCGUGGUGUAGCGGUGAAAUGCGUAGAUAUGAGGAGGAACACCAGUGGCGAAGGCGGCCUGCUGGACGACAACUGACGGUGAGGCGCGAAAGCGUGGGGAGCAAACAGGAUUAGAUACCCGAGUAGUC